Molecule: long non-coding RNA, 200 nt
Filed under: Lathyrus oleraceus (garden pea)
Lineage: Eukaryota; Viridiplantae; Streptophyta; Magnoliopsida; Fabales; Fabaceae
Description: Pisum sativum (pea) long non-coding RNA (PSAT_LNC003447)
Source: RNAcentral
UGACUCAAUCUUGGUCAUACUUUUUUAAUGAAAAAAGUAUGGAAAGAUUUCCACUGGCAGGGACUAGAUUGCAUUAGCCAUGUUAUUUACAUUACUUACUUUCUUUUCUGACAUGUGACAUGUAAGAGGUGGACGAAAUAGAAAUAUAAACAGCGUCAAUUUUUAGAUGUCCAGUAACUAAAAGUGUGAGGCCAUCUUUG